GGACAGGUGAGUAACGCGUGGGUAACCUGCCUUGUACUGGGGGACAACAGUUGGAAACGACUGCUAAUACCGCAUAAGCGCACAGCUUCGCAUGAAGCAGUGUGAAAAACUCCGGUGGUACAAGAUGGACCCGCGUCUGAUUAGCUGGUUGGUGAGGUAACGGCCCACCAAGGCGACGAUCAGUAGCCGGCCUGAGAGGGUGAACGGCCACAUUGGGACUGAGACACGGCCCAAACUCCUACGGGAGGCAGCAUG
RNAcentral lists this ribosomal RNA (255 nucleotides) under uncultured bacterium. RNAcentral's name for it is "partial 16S ribosomal RNA". It matches the Rfam family "Bacterial small subunit ribosomal RNA", at positions 100 to 353 of the family's 1533-position model. The record is from RNAcentral.